AUCCUUAUGCUGAGGGAGUGCUGGGAGAGUCUUCAGAGCCCAUUCCUCUGAGCUCCGGCCCUUAGAUAACAUCAUUGAAACUUUGCGUGUUACUGCCUUUGACAUUUGUUGGAGUUCAUUGUAGAUUCUGGAUAUUAGCCCUUUGUCAGAUGAACAUUGAUGCAAAAAACCUCAAUAAAAUACUGGCAAAACGAAUCCAGCAGCACAUCAAAAAGCUUAUCCACCAUGAUCAAGUGGGCUUCAUCCCUGGGAUGCAAGGCUGGUUCAAUAUACGCAAAUCAAUAAAUGUAAUCCAGCAUAUAAACAAAGCCAAAGACAAAAACCACAUGAUUAUCUCAAUAGAUGCAGAAAAAGCCUUUGACAAAAUUCAACAACCCUUCAUGCUAAAAACUCUCAAUAAAUUAAGUAUCGAUGGGACGUAUUUCAAAAUAAUAAGAGCUAUCUAUGACAAACCCACAGCCAAUAUCAUACUGAAUGGGCAAAAACUGGAAGCAUUCCCUUUGAAAAAAUGGUUCUUAUUCUUACAACCUCACAAGCAACUAAGCUUGAAAAGCUGCACAUUAAUCAAGUUUAUUAAAUACAUCAGGUAAUAAAAGGUAUAGAUUUAUGUGUGUUGUGGGGUGGGUGUACGUCAGUUUCUGUGUGAGAGAGAGAAGGCAGGAAGGAAGGCAGAAAAAAGAGAGGAAUAUUACAUAAUUGACCACAGUUUAUGAGGUCCUCAAGAAAUUACAGGGAAUUAGUCCUUAUGGACAAGGCUGACAUAGAUGGAGAGGACAACUUGACACACCUAGCUAUGGUUAUAUAUUGAUAUAAAUAUCAUUUUCUUUUUUUCUCUCUUUUUUUUAAUGGAGUCUCGCUCUGUUGCCCAGGCUGGAGUGCAGUGGCACAUCUUGGCUCAACGCAACCUCUGCCUCCCAGGUUCAAGCGAUUCUCCUGCCUCAGCCUCCCGAGUAGCUGGGAUUACAGGCGUGUGCCACUGGGCCUGGCUAAUAUUUGUAUUUUUAGUAGAAACGGAGUUUCAUCAUGUUGGCCAGGCUAGUCUUGAACUCCUGACCUCAGGUGAUCUGCCCGCCUCAGCCUCCCAAAGUGCUGGGAUUACAGGCAUGAGUCACUGCACCUGGCCCCAAAAUAUCAUUUUCUAGUCAUACAAACACUCACAUGUGUUAGAACAUGCAUUAGAACAGAUGUAGUGGAGGGUGUCUAGUGGUGAAAUAUGAUGGUGACACAAAACCCCUCAUCCAGCCCCUUUUCAUCCCAGCUUCACCUGCCCUAAGGCUGAGCCUUGAACCUGCUCUUUCUGAGUCCUCACAAUGGUCCUGAGCCCCCUGCUGUACCGAGCACCCUCUGGUGUCCUGAUUUUCCUCGAUGGUUCCUGAGAGCCCCCGGCUGACCUGCGUGCCUCUACAAUGGUCUUGAGUGCCCCUUGGUGUCCUGAGAGCCCCCUGGGGACCUGAGCAACCCCUUCUGUCCUAUGCACCCCCACAGGGAGGUUUGGGUGUGAGCUCACACUGUGAUUCCCUCACUGUGUCUUUGGCUUAAAAAUACAUGGCUAUGUGCUUGUUGCUCAUGUAGCUCAGCUGUAGGAAGAACUGCUUUUUUGGACACGGAUCUGGGGAUGGUGACUGGACACUUGAGGAGUGGGUGGUAAUGUGUGCUCCCUUCAUGACCUAUGCACCCAAUCCACUCCAUUCCCUUCCCUGGGGGGCUGAUGGAUCCAGCUUCAGCAGGAAGACCUCGUUAUCAUGGGGAACACAGACACAGCGCAGGUAAGGGAGAGGGUCUGUGAGGGCUUCACCAGGCCAAGAGUGCGCUGAGAAACACAGUUGUUGGCAUGCACAGGUUCUGGGCAAUACAUUGAAAUUCUCAAAUAUGUACAUUUUUAUGAGAAUAAACAGCUCACUUGUGUUCAAUUUGUGAAUCUCCUAGAGCAAUGCAGCAGAUUCUGAGGUUAGAUUCAGACAAAUAUAGGGUCACGUUUUUCUCCAUAGUUGGAACCAAAUUAUAAAGAGAAACUUAUGUCAGUAGAAUGGGCAUUGAACUAUCUCUGUCUAUGAUAAUGGUGAUGUUCAGAAUAGGAUUGGGAUGUGACAACCUGAAGGGUGUCCUAAUUAUUAACCCACAAUUAGACCUCAGCAGCAAUCACUGGCAGUGGAGGUCACCCACAUGGAGAAAUGUCUGACUCACUGAAGCUGCACCUGGGGGUCUCUGCAGGCUCUGAGUUGUACAGGAACAGCUCCUCCCUCAGACUCAGAGUGAGGACAAUCUCUGCUCUUUCUCUGGGGGAGGUGAGGGUUAGUAUGAGGAAAGAACCAACCUUACUGUAAUCAAGAUCUCUGUUCUUAGACAGAAACCAAAGAAUAUGAGAAAAAACUGAUCUCAGUUUAAACAGAACAAUUCAUCAUGAGGAAGGUAAUAAUAUGUCUGGAUGCUGCACAGAAUUAAGAAACAAUGAAUUUGGGAUAAGGUUGAACAUUAUUUUGCAAAGUCUGUUUUUUUUUUGUUGUUUUUUUUUUUUGAUGGAGUCUCACUCUUGUUGCCCAGGCUGGAGUGUAAUGGUGUGAUCUUGGCUCACCAUAACCUUCACCUCCCGGGUUCAAGCGAUUCUCCUGCCUCAGCCUCCCUAGUAGCUGGGAUUACAGGCAUAUGCUACCAUGCCUGGCUAAUUUUGUAUUGUUAGUAGACAUGGAUUUUUCCAUAUUGGUCAGGCUGGUCUCGAACUCUCGACCUCAGGUGAUCUGCCCGCCUUGGCCUCCCAAAGUGCUGGGAUUACAGGCAUCAGCCACCACGUCCGGACCAGACUCUGUUCUUAAUUAUCUAUGUCAUCUGAGAAAAUGAAGUAAAAUCAUGGUUUUUAUAUAAAAAUUCACAAACUGGGUGCUGGCCCUGAGAAUCCACCUCCCAUCUCUCCAACAUCAGGGAGCCCAAUAGACCAGGCAGCCAGCUGCUGCACUGCACUCUAACACCUGUCACCUGGUGUGUGCCAAAGACACCCAACCUGGGAGCUCCUCCCAGACAAUGGCUGUGCACAGCGGAAGUACUGAGGCAUGGCUGCUGCUGGGACACAUGGGAGAUUCCUGAUGGACAACUGAGCUCUGGGAGGCACCAGUGGCCUCGCUGAACUUAGCUUGGACCCAGGGUAUUUAGGUAAGCUCCAUCAAACUCCCACUCUUCUCCAGCACUAGUGGUGAGAUUGACAUUCUGGGGUGGCAGUGUCUACAGCCUCCCUGGCCUCCUGUGCAUUUUUAUGCCUCCAUUACUUACAUCUGCCUUUGGGACAAAUGAGAAUGUUUCCACUUCUUAUAAUAAAUUUUUCUAAUCCAGAGACCUCAGGGAUGGGCACAGAAACAUAAAUGUCAAGAGGCUCCCAGGGGAACUGUUGGAUGCAGAGAAAGCCACAGACCCUGAAGGAAAGUAGCCCAUGACGACCGUCUGCACCUGCCCUAGAGCUUCCCCUGUUUUCUGUGGGUCUUGAGUGCUCCCUUUAUCCCAGCCUCCUCCCUUAUCAUUACAGGAACCUCUGUGUCUGUGUUCACACUGAUGUCUUCUUACCUGGUGCCUCACAUACAGUAACACACAGCUGUGCCCUCUGCUCUCAGACUGUUCAUUUGCAAAUACAGUGAGUUCUUGGCAUUUUCUUUGGAGACGGUGAAUCUGCUCGUCACAGAUUGUGCAUAACAUAUCUGACUUCCAUCACACUGUAUAUCUACUACUCACUCCAGCCCCUUCCCUGGAGCCUGGGAAACCGAGCUCAUUCAGUAGCUACUGAAGGUUAAUCCAGAGGCUGCACAGGAGAGUCUCAGGGAACCCCAGGUUGUCUUGGGUCCUCUCCAGACUCCACCAGCUGUACCUCACACUGGACACCCGUAAACUCGUAGAGAUCCUGGUGAGAAACUGCCUGACAUAUCCACUGUUUCUCUCAAAUAUAUUCACUCACACUCUAUUUCUCUGGUUUACCUUUUAAAAUAACAACUGUGAAACCCAGCUCAGCCCAGACUCCAUGAUGGGUCCUCUGUCUUUAGUCCUGAUCACAAAACGGAAACCCCUGGGAAUCCCAGGGCUGGGGCUUCUCUCCCAAACCUACGGGGUCAGGACUGGGCUGGUUUUCAUCAACAAAGGGAGAAACCUGUUUGCAUGUCUCCUACUGUAUAGCAAGCUCUGGGAUGGGAAUCCUGAGGAGGGGCAGGGGUCAGAGCAGACAAAGUGCCUUGGGGGAGAUUGGUAGUCAUCUUAUCACUCAGGAAAAUAUCAUUUUAUAUUAUGUGAUCAUGCCUUGAUAACUAUUUAGCAGUCAUCAUCUUAUUUCAUUUCUACAUAUUUGCAGAAUACAUUUAAUGCAAGUGUCAAUGUUACAUUUUAAGGAAUUUACAUUACACACAGAACAGAGUGGCUGUACAAUAUGGUCAAGAUCACACAGCUGGACAGAAUUAGUCCCAUUAUCCAUGCCUGUGCCUCUGACCACUAGAGAAGACUGCUCCCCUGAGACAACUCCAGGGCAGUGUGGGACAUGCCUAGUGAGGUUUGCAGGAUUCCACCCCUGCCAGGAUAUCUCUGUUUUCUUUUAGUGUAUUCUGUUGUUUAUCUGAAAUAUAUAUAGAGAGAACCAGUGUUCAUACAUGUGUACUUUCAAAAGUCAGCGAUGUUUCAAGUGUUAAUAGCCAUCUAUUUUUUGCUCCUCCUCAACCAACACAUUCAUUUGUUUCUUUGUUACUGCUUUUUUAAGUACAAAAUUAACAAAUAAUUAAUUCAAAUAUAUACUGCACAAUUUGGAAUAUGUUAAUGUAUGUGUGCAACCCUUUAAUCAGGGUUUCAAUUAAGUCGUGUGCAAUUAAGUUAACCUCUAAAUCUUUCUGUCACUUCUCUGUAAUUUCAUCUCAACACCCCAUUACUUUCAACACCCAAUUCUCACCAAAUUCUCUUCUCUGUUACUUUAGAAUAGUUUUACCUUCUACAGUUUAUACAAAUAGAAGUUUAUGAAGUGCACUGUUAAUACUUUAGCUACUUCCACUCAGCGCAGUUAUUUGUGAAUGUAGCCAUGACUUUAUGUGAAUGAGGAUGCCUUGAUUCUAAUGCUGCAUUGUACUUUACUUCAUAAUCUUAUGUCAAAUUGUUUAACAUUCACCUGUAAUGGAUAUGGAUAUUUGAUUUGUUCUCUUAGUUUCUGGCUUUUAUAUAGAAAUCUACUCAGUGUGGGAAUGUGAAAAAUGAGGAAACUAUGAUCUUAUUCUGUCCUCAUUAACAACAAACCUGAAAAACUGUGAAUAAAGGAAGAAGAAAAACCUGUAACAUUUGUGAGUUAGUUUCACAGAGAAAGCAAGAAGACUGAAAUGUGAGGAGAGAGAGGCCUGCAGAGAGGACUGGGGCCCACAUGUUAGUGAACCCAGGGCAGGUGCCACUGGAUGGCAUUGAGAGAGGAACAGGCUAACCUGGAAAUAUUUAGUGAGGAUUUUUUUUGGAUGCAUGUGCUAAUGGUAUUAGAGUGUGAAUCUACUAGUCCUUGCAGGCUUUUCCCAGGAAUUUGAAAAAUCCACAGUCAACUCCCUUAUCUGCUGUCCUGUGGUGCUGACAGGAAGGGAAGAACAGCGAGGACUGUUGAACGCCUGGAUCCACCUCCACUGUCUCCAGGGGAAAUCCAAUCAAACCUGUGACCUAUGGGGUGUGGUGGAGUCAACAGAAACAAAAGAAAACAGAGGAUUCCCAGGAAACUCCAUCUAGAAGAAAUCCUUAAUCUGCAGGACGGAGUUUUGCUCUUGUUGCCCAGGCUGGAGUGCAAUGGCACGAUCUCGGCUCACAGCAACCUCCGCCCCCCAGGUUCAAGCCGUUCUCCUGCCUCAGCCUCCGGAGUAGCUGGGAUUACAGGCAUGCGCCACCACGCCUGGCUAAUUUUGUACUUUUAGUAGAGACGGGGUUUCUCCAUGUUGGUCAGGCUGGUCUCGAACUCCAGACGUCAGGUGAUCCACCCGCCUCGGCCUCCCAAAGUGCGGGGAUUACAGGCAUACACCACCGCACCAGGCCUGUCGUCCUCCUUUCUUGCCUGCCACAAGGAUGUGAGGAAGCAGAACCACAGAUAAGAAAGAAAGAGGAGCCCUGGAGACAGCUGAGGUGCUGGCGAGGAGGGAGAGCCCUGAGCAGAUGAGGAAGCCCCGCCCUCCCUGCACCUGCUCCUGACCCGGCCUCAUGCUCUGUGGGCCCCGCGCGCCCCCUGCUGGUCCUGAGCGGCACCUGCGCCCGCCCCCUCCGCCUCCCUGCGGUCACAGAGCUCAGCUUCAGGGAAAACUGGUUCUUGGACGUUUCUAUUGACAUGGUGACUCAACUCCUGAGGGACGGGGUGUAGUAGCUCCUCCCACUAUAAUAGAUGUAUCCAAUCCAUUCCAGCCCCUUCCCUGGGGACUGGCGGACCCAGCUCCACCAGUUACCACUGCUGAUGGAGUCACCAGAGACAGCGCAUGUGAGGGACAGGGUCUCCGAAGGCUUCACCAGUCCUGGGCCCCACUCCUGCAGCUGCACCUGGGACAGGACCCCUGUGAACACAGAGACCCACUGUGAGCCCUGGGCUCAGAUGCAGCCUCCCAUAUCUUCAUAUCUGCAUCCUGGAGACACUCACUUCUGGGAGCUGCCACCAGGGGGAGGAAGAACCACAGGUUUUUCAUGUUCUUUUCACACGAGGUCCAUGACUCUCAGAAAGCAUUUCCCGUGUAAGCAGAACGCCGAAUUUAAGGAAAUGUGUGGUGGUUUCCUGUGGGCGCUUAAGUGAGGAUUUGCAUGUGGGUGGUGCCUUUGUAUGGAGAGAUGAAAAGGGAUGAGGGAGGCCGCAGUCUUUCGGGUUCACCCUGGGAGGAGGAUGCUGGCUGUGCCCUCUGAGAACUCAGUUCUCUACCUGUGGCCUCCCCUCACCAAGCACAGAGUCCUCUUCAUCCAGAUAGGAAAUGUGUUGAAGGAGCUGUUCUGGGAGAUGAGUGUGAUCAUGGAUCAAGGACAGAUUUUGGAACAGGGUCAAUAUUGUUCUACACUUAAAGACUCAUGUAAAACCAUCCACACACCCAAGUCAUUCGAAUUGUCAUUUAUACCUUCAGACACAUUGAAACAGCAGCUGAGUGUAAUAAUCUCAGUGAGUUCAGACAAACCUGGAUGCAUCCAAUGUUUAUCGUAGUUCUGAAUAUCCAUCGUAGAUAUCUUACCAUAUGUAAGAAAUGGUGUAUGACCAUUUCUUACAUAAUGGGAGUUGACUGUAAAAAUAGCAUGAAGAUGUGUAAAUAUAAUGCCUAGGUAGAUAAACUGCUGAAUUAACAAAGCCUGGAGCCAAUUAUAUUCUGGCAUCUUGUUAUUUAGUUGUGAAUUUAUUUUCAGUUGGUUAGUUCAAUUUCCCAAAAUUCAAUUUCUGCUAAAAUAGUCACAUACAAUAACCUUGAGAUAUUAAAAUGAAAAAAAAAACUAAUUUGAAAAUGAACCCAGCUUCCAGAAGUGAGAAUUACUUUGUGGUGAAUGGUAAGAAGGGUGGAGACACAGCUGAAUACCAAGAUUGUGUUCACAAUUGUUUUAAUUAGGGGAACUUCUAUACAUCCCUUCUAUUUAUUAGAAACUCCCAUUGAGAACCUUGAACUAACAUAAUUUGUUGAUAGAUUACACAAAAACAAUGAAGCUGAAGGUUAUUAAGCAGGAAUUGCUAUUAUAAAAUUAGCUUUCCUUUAGAACAUAUUCCUGUACCUGAUGUGAAAUUAGCCCAGGUGCACUGAUGAGAGCUUGUCAGUUAAGCAAAGAGCAGGAAAUGGGCUCACAUGUGUCUGGAGCAGGGCAUGGCUUUGGCAUGUUUUGCUAACAAAGUGGCUUCUCACAUCUUCUGGAAAACCCAUUAAAAUGGGCAAGUUAAGGAUCUCUUAUGAGCACCCGUCUAUUCCACAUUCUUGGCUAAUAUAAAGGUGGAUGUCGAUGCAAAAUGAGAUAAGAUGGAAGUUAAGGAAACUGCUGCAUCACUGCCUCAGCUCAGCACAGCUGCCUCCCACAUCAGGAUUUCUGACACUCUCAGGAUGUGGGUUUCCACAUGGUGUAUCUCGCACAGUAAUACAUGGCCAUGUCCUCAGCCUUUAGGCUGCUGAUCUGCAGGUAUGCUGUGCUGGCAGAGGUGUCCAUGGAGAAGACAAACCGUCCUGUGAAGCCCUGGGCAUAUGUUGGGUUCCCAGUGUAGGUGUUGAACCAUCCCAUCCACUCAAGCCCUUGUCCAGGGGCCUGUGGCACCCAAUUCAUACCAUAGGUGGUGAAACUGUAACCAGAAGCCUUGCAGGAGACCUUCACUGAGGCCCCAGGCUGCUUCACCUCAUGGCCAGACUGCACCAGCUGCACCUGGGAGUAGGUACCUGUGGAGAGGACACAGGGGUGGGUAAAGCCUCACUUGAGUGGCCUGGUUUCUUCCUCAGCCCUGAGACUGGGGAGCCCCUUACCUGUUGCUGCUGCCACCAAGAAGAGGAUGCUCCAGGUCCAGUCCAUGGUGAGGAGCUGUGCUCUAGGGGAUUCUCCCAAGGAGGGAUGUUGUUGUUGGGUGAUGCUUUCAGGGUACAGAGAUACUAUAUUCCCCUCAGUUAUUUGCAUAUUCAUGAAGGAUGCUAUUUAAUAGACCAAUUCCUGACCCAGUAUGAGAAAGAGAAAAUCCAUGACACACGGACGACACAAUUGUAGAAGCUGAGGGUUCGAGUCGUAAUCCUGUUAGAGGCCAUGCAUCCCCUACCCAUCCCUGAACUCUGUGUUGACAGAGCUUCCUCCACUGGGGAACAACUCCCCGAGGACAGCACCUCACUUUGAACCCACAUUUGAAUGUCUCAGGGGCAACGUGAACCAUUUCUAGACCUUAAUAUGUGAAUGCGUUAUUUUGGGAAUGAGUGUGUCUCUCCAAAAAUUGCACUUAUUUAUAAGUAAUAAUCUCUUCCUGACCUCCAGCUGCUAUUAUUAAGAUAACUAGCAGAGUUUGAAAUCGCCAUUAUAAAAGUGGUUCUCAUUACAACAUCCAGUUUGAUAAAUGCUCACAAUUGAAUAGGAUAUUUAUACAAACAUCAGCAGUCCUUGUGAAAUACUUAUUUUAGAUAUUUUUAAAGGAAGUCCCAGGCCCUGAGAGGAACCUCUCCCCAGCCUCAUGUGCACCUGCUCUGGGGCGGAAGACUGUGCUCGAUGUGUCCUGAGCGCCCCCUGCAGCCCUGCCCCCACCCUGCAGGGAGGUUUCUAUCUGAGCUGACAGAGUAUAUUCCUACCAGUGUCUCUAGCCCAGUAUAAAGUGGCUGUGCCCUGGCUCAGAAUUCUGCUUUAUUUACACCAUAUGCUUCUCACACCAUCUUUUGAAAUAGUGAAUCAGCCUUAGGAAACCCAGCGAACUCUGCAGGGACACCCCAAGAAAAGAUCUCACGCAUCACCAGGGAGCCGUUUCCUGGAGCUCGAGAGGCACUGAAUCAUUGGACACAUGGUGAACCCAAACACUCUUCAGGGGUUUGGGGGGACUCUUAUUUCCUUUAGGGUUCUGCAGUUGAUUAUUGUACCUGAUAAUACCUGUAGGCGCAGGUGCAUGUGGAUAGAAGCCCACUCCAACUCUACUAUUCAACUCAGACACACACACACACACACACACACACACAUACACAUUGUGGCUAAUUUUUACAUUAGUGGGCCCCAUGUUUGCCCUUUUUUCUGGUAUUUUUCUCAUGAAAAGCACUCCCUACACUGGAACUAAGACUGAAUAUGUGUCUACUUUCUGCAAACAGAAUUAAAGAAAACAGAAUACAAGUGCCUUGCCAAGAUUAAUAUAACUAUGUAAUUUAAUGAUGUAUUUGAAAACCUCCUGGUCAUACAAACACACAUACGUGCACAACAGCCCAGCAAAGACUCAUACAUGUGCCCAUGCAAAAGUGAAUGCAUACGUAAACACCAAAACAACACACCCAUUUGUUUCAUAUUAUUCUAAUUAUUUAAUUGAAUUUAAAUUGUGUUUGCAGUUUGAGAUUUUAGUACAAAAUAAUGCUGAUCUACGUGUAUGUCUGCCUAUUCCAAUAUUAAAAAGACAAAUAUAUUUAAAUACAUGUUUUGGUAAAACUGUAUGUAAAUGCCAUUCUUGUCAAGUAUUGAAACAGGAAUUAAAAGAAAUUAAAGAAUGUGUAAGCAGAAACUCAGUUGUAUGUAAGAAAACCCAAUUCUCCCUGAAAAAGAGAAAGAGCUGGAGUCCUUUAAAAUACUAACUGCCUGUUUUUCUGUGGCUAAUGAGCCUUACCUCUCCUCCCUUCUCAGGCAUUUUGAAGACCCUGAUUCCCUAGCAGUGUAGCUGCAAGGUCACUAGAAAGAUAAACUCAAGUCGCAAAACAUGUUUUUCCUUGAAAAGGAAGAAAUGAUGUAAUACAUGUUUCAAUUGAAUAACUGUCUUUGUUUCUCACUUCUGUAGUAUGCUUCACCCUGCACAGAUGUCCCCUCUCCCACCCCACAAAAUGCUUAAAAGGUAACUGAACUCUGUUCUGGGCUCAGUCCUUUGGAUGUUAAUUCGACUUGGCCGGUGCACCUAAAUAAUAAAUAUCCUCCUGAACCUAAAUAAUAAAUAUCCUCCUGAACAGAGUCGGUCUCUCUGAUUCCUUAAAAAAUCCCAGAACAGUAUGGCACUUAAAUGUGCAAUGGUAUUUAUUUUAAAUAUCAGUCUGUUGUUAAUAAAUUGAAUAACUAAUAAGACAAACAUCACUUUUAAAACUGUAUUACCUUAUUUGUUGAAUUUAGAUGGUAAUUUUCAAACUAGGCAAGAUAAAAUUUUUUACUUGAAAAGUUUUGAAAAAAACUUCUUUGGCAUGAAUAUUCAAUACAAACUGUAGUCUUUAUUUGCCAACAUGCCUUUAUAAUAGAGAACAUCCAGCAAUAUGAAGCUAAACCCAGCCCAUGCUUUUUAGGGCUCACUCACAAUGGCAGCUUCCUAGAGGGUGGUCUGAGAGAGUGUAAGCACAUGGGGAUUUGGGCUUCAUCAUCAAAGUGAAGAAGUAAUUUAUGAAUUUUACAAUAUGUAAAGCCAGAAAAUUAACUUUCCCCUCAGGGCUUACUGUAGUGUGUAGCCCCUCCCCCGUAGUCUAAGUUAGAGAAUACUAACUGCCUGUUUUUCCUUCUGUGCUCAGUGAGCCUUAUCUGUUCUCAUUGGUUUCACAUUCCUUGAGGCUCAGAGGGUUCUUGCUUACCUCCCCAGCACAGCUGCAAGGUCAUAAGAUUGUUAAGUAUAUGUUACAGAACCAUGUAUUCCCAAGGAUGUAAGACAUGAAGUAACAAAUAACUGCCUUUGUUCUCUCUUCUGUAAUUACGCUUCCUGCAUCAUGUAGCUCCCAGCCACUGACUGUGUAAAAGGUGGCUGCUUUCUUUGUCCAGGGCUCAGACUUUCCUGGAUGCUAGUCCAACUGAGCCAGGUGAUCACCUUUUAAUAAAGGACUCUCCUGAA
Molecule: long non-coding RNA, 11431 nt
Organism: Homo sapiens (human)
Lineage: Eukaryota; Metazoa; Chordata; Mammalia; Primates; Hominidae
Exons: 3
Source: RefSeq, a predicted model, not a curated record